Molecule: ribosomal RNA, 477 nt
Filed under: uncultured Candidatus Scalindua sp.
Lineage: Bacteria; Pseudomonadati; Planctomycetota; Candidatus Brocadiia; Candidatus Brocadiales; Candidatus Scalinduaceae
Description: bacterial SSU rRNA
Rfam family: Bacterial small subunit ribosomal RNA
Source: RNAcentral
UUCGCAAUGCCCGAAAGGGUGACGAAGCGACGCCGCGUGGGUGAGGAAGGCCUUCGGGUUGUAAAGCCCUGUCAGGAGUUAAGAAAUGUAAGUGCGCUAAUAUCGCAUUUACUUGACGAAGGCUCCAAAGGAAGCCACGGCUAACUCUGUGCCAGCAGCCGCGGUAAUACAGAGGUGGCAAGCGUUGUUCGGAAUUAUUGGGCGUAAAGAGCACGUAGGUGGGUUUGUAAGUCAGAUGUGAAAGCCUUCUGUUCAACGGAAGAAUUGCAUCUGAAACUGCAAGUCUUGAGUGUAGGAGGGGAGAAUGGAACUUCUGGUGGAGCGGUGAAAUGCGUAGAUAUCAGAAGGAACGCCGGCGGCGAAAGCGAUUCUCUGGCCUAUUACUGACACUCAGUGUGCGAAAGCUAGGGGAGCAAACGGGAUUAGAUACCCCGGUAGUCCUAGCUGUAAACGAUGGGCACUAAGUAGAGGGGCAUU